GUGCAUCAUGUGAGUGCUACCAUACAGACAGUUGUGAGCCUCUAUGUGGGGCAGCAAAUAGUCUUAACUGCUAAGUUAUCUCUCCAGCCCCAUACUACUCCAACUGCCCCGCUCUGAAGUCAUCACUUCUUCUCCCAGGGCACCAACCAGUGUCUUUAUGUCUCCCAUGGCUACAUCCACCACAUUUCAAAAUUUAUUAUUAAUCCCCUUAUGGAAUUCAUCUCCAAGCACGGUGGAUACUGGCUUUGUGGUGGCUUUCAGAUUUAGUUCUUAGGAGCAGGUCUGGUGCCUCUGGCCAAACCUUGUGUCUGCUAACCUGGGCUCUCUAUAAGGCCCUACUAUUCUUACUUCGGUCCGGUAUGCAUUCAUACUGAAAGGUCUUUAGAAGCUCCCUUUAAUUAUGUUAAUCUGCUGUUCACAAGUCUCCAAAUUGUUCCCUCCUGUUUAUUGGAUGGACCUCAAAGUCUCUGUGUGGGAUUCAGACCUCUGUGAAAUCUGACCUCUUUCCUCCCCAGCCAGUGCUCUGGGUUUCUGCCUGCCUUACAAGCCCUCUUCCCCAGCCAACAGUGUAGCAGUCCAUAAGAGACCCUGAGCCCUCCUCCUGUUCCUCUCAGGGCUCCCCAGGUGGUAGCUCCAUUUCCAGCCACAUGCAUACAUUUCCUCACCAUUUGAGGUUAAGUUUAAUCCAUUUAGGUUGCCUUCUCCUGAACAAGCCAGCUGCCCUUCCCAGCCUCUGGCACACUCACAGAUGGGAUUUCUGAUUUGCUGUAUCACUAGCCUUCGGUGUUAUCUCCUUGGUUACAUCAUAUACCCUUGGAAUUGGGCAACCAGACCUUGCAAUGCUCAGCCUCGUGUAGUAUGAAUAGGUUUCUCCAGUCCUUUUGGAGAGACCUGAAGUAGACUGCUCAGACAAGUAGCAGAGUAAUUAUGUAGGUCCUCUGACUGAUUCUUUGUUGUCACUAGAGUGCCUGUAGCUGAAGUCCCCAUGAGAAACAGCAGGAUAUGCAUGGCAUGUGGCUCCCCACCCUGUUCUCUGGGGCUGGCAGGAAGGCCUCUGUCCUCCCUCUUCAUUCCUGGUUUUACUGGGAUGCUGCCAUGUAUCCAUCUCUGCCUCUAUUUGAUCCCACCUCCUGCUGAAGAUGUCCCUUGUGCUUUAUUUUGGCUGCCAGUUUCCCUACUCUGUCCGUUGAGGUUCAUGUGCUUAAGGUGUGCCACUGGAGAGGUAGCCACGUCUCUUGCAAGUGACUUCUUCCCAUGAAGGGUAAUUUGAGAGAUGUGAACAUUCUGUUUCCAAUAGCUCUUAUUCCUCUGACAGCCUAGCCCAGUGAGAAAUUCCAAGGGAAUAGCCAAAAUGUGGGGAAUGUUAGGGCAAAGAUCCUAUGUGUGAAAAUCUGGAAGGCUGCCUGCAUACACUACUGAUGGAGGAAGUUACACACGUUCUAAUAAUGUUUCUAUCUAAAGAUGAGAUUUCCAAGUCACAAGCAGAAGAUGAGCAAGCCUGGGCUGGGGGUAAGAUUGUUGCAAACAUAGGUUUUAGAAGGGCUCAGGAGAAAAUCUCUGUGUACACAGAGUAGGUAAGGCUAUGCAGGGUGGGGUGGGUGCUAAAUCAUGUACUAAAGCAAGACAAAUACUCACAGGACAGCAGUCACUGACCACACCACUUUUUGUGUUGCAUUGACUUGGAAGCAGGAUUUGGUUUGUUGCCCUUUAAGGUCCUCCAAGUUGGCAAAUGGAGAUUAAAGGAAUUUCCCUUAUCUCAUGUCAUGUUCUGGCUUUGGGAAGGAUGUCAAGACAACUUCAUUUUCUUUCCUCCCUUUGCAUGUGCAUAUGUGUGCAUGUUCAUGUGUGCAGGGGCACAGGUGUGUGCAGAUGUGCAGAGGCUGGAAGACAACCGUGGAUGUGACUCCUUAGAGGCUACCUUCCCCAUCCCACCCCCACCAGCUCACUCGCUUGGAACUUAGCAAAUAGGUGGGGCUGACCCACCAGUAAUCCCAGGAGUCUGGUUGUCUCUGCCUUCCCAGCACUGACAAGGGUGUGAGUAGCUCUUCUAUACAUGUCCUCUGAAAACCAAACUCAGGUCCUCAUGCUUGCCAGGCAAGUGCUUUUAGUGCCUAAGUUAUCUCCCCAGCCCCACCUUUCCCUUCUCAUUUACCGCAGGCAUCUUUUUGUAGAUGCAGUGAGAGGUUGGUUGAAGGUCAAAUCCAUUUUGGGAAAACAUGGGUGCUGCUGAGGCUGGAAGGUCACCUCAUCAGCUGUCAAUCUAUUCACAGCCUCCUUUCAUAUGAUGUUGGCUUGCUCUGGUCUGAGACAGAGUUCUGUAGUCUCGGGGUAGGAAAGGACCUCAAGGACUCUCAAGCUCAACUUUCCCCAAGGUAAAGGGAUAGCAGCUCCUUGGUACAUGAGUAUAAAGCAGGGGUUAUCAACCUUCAUAAUGCUAUAAACCUUUAGUACAGUUUCUUGUGUUGUGGUAAAUACCAACCAUAAAAUUAUUUUCAUAGCUACUUCAUAACAGUAAUUUUGCUACUGUUAUGAGAAUUUAUUGUCAGAUGGUCUUAGGUGACCCCUGUAAAAGGAGUCAUUCAAUCCUCAAAGUGGUCAUAGCCCACAGGUUGAUAACCACUAGUAUAUAGUCUUGUUGGCCCAGUCUAAUGGUGGGAAUUUCACUUGGAGUCCACCUAUGAUGCUAAAGUGUGCCUAAAGUGUGCCCUGGAAUAUAUAUCCAGGUAACCUGCAAGUGACUUUUACCUGUGAAGCAUAACUUGAGAGAUUCCAUUUGAGACACAAGUCCAUCAGAGCAGUAAGACGGGUGAGAAACUUUUCAGAGUCCCUGGUAAUUAAAUAAAAGUAAAAUCAAAGCAAAGAGAUGUUGUACUUUCCUUAACAAAUUGGCAAAGACCCUUAAGAGGUUAGAACUCAGCUGUGGGCAAAGAAGUGGGCUUAUACCCGUUUGCAGAUGGCUAUUUGGCUAUGUGUGUUAAAAGCCUUUUAAAAAAAUCUGUCCUUUUUAGGUAGGCAAUGUCAGAUCUUGUAUUUUGUUUUAGGAAAAUAUUUGUAUUUCAAAGGUCUGGGCUCAGUGACAGAAUGCUUGCAUAACAUGCUCAAAGCCUAGGUUCAAUCUUCAGUACCAGGGGGGAAAUAUCAAAGAAAUAAUGGUGUUUGUGUGGAAAGGAUUUAGGUAGAUGGAGUUUUUCCUAGUGCAAAUGUUUAUAUAAAUUGAGUGGAAGGAGCAGCCAAGUCUCUAACAGUAGGGGCUGGUUAUGGACAUAAACUUUUCUUUGGGCUUUUCACAUCCUUUACUCCCGUCUCCUCAUCUCUGCUGUUAGGGCAGACCUGUUGGCUUGAUAGUUUUAUGGCUGAAAUGACAGGAAUUUCCCCUGGGCCAGCACUCAAGCUAACUUAGGUAGUGCCUCUCCCAAGUUGAAGCCUGUGUUUCACAUCACAGCUUCCCAUGAUAGACACCGGAAGUGGAAACUAUGCUCUAUGCCAUAGGAUCUCAUGUUGGUACAAGGUGCUGAAGACUCGCAGAUUACACACAACACUGCUUUACAGUUUGAAAAAAAUAGUUAAAAAGCUCAUAAUUAAAUAAAAAUUACAUCUGCCUAUUCAGUGUGUAUCUUUGCAUGUGCAUGCAAGUGCCUAUGUGGGUGUACGUAUGUGCGUGUACACAGGCAUGAACUACAGCAAAUGUGGAAGUCAGAGGACAGUUUGCAGGGGUGGCUUCUCUCUAUCUAUCUCUCAUAUGGUUCUGUGAUUGAAUUUUUGUCAUCAGGCUUGGUCUGAAGUCUUAUUCACUGAGCUACCUUAAUGGACCCCAUGUUUAAUAUUUAUUCAGAUUCUGACUUUUAGUAGUCAUCCAUUUUUAAUCCAUCAGUUCCCAGAUUUUCCUUGCACUCUUUCUACCAGUAAGCAAAGCAAUAGCUACUUAGAGCCAGCAUUGUGGAAAUCUGCCUGAGCCUGGCUUACAUGAGCUUUCACAUGCUGGGGAAGGCCAAUUACAGGGAGCCAUUUGUGGGUGUUGACUAUAGGCUGGCUAUGUUUUGAGCUCAUGUUGAUAUUUCAUAUUUUCUCUUUAUAACUUUUAUUAACACUGGGCAGAAGGUGGCCUUAUUCCCCAAAGCUACCCAGCCAGUAGCAGCAGAGCUAAGACUUGACUGGGGUAGGAACCUCAGAAGCAGACUCCAGUCUGGCCGAGUAGGUGUUGCUCUCAGGUGGGUAAUGUCUGACGGAAGCACAUGGAAGCUUCCCUCGCUGCCUCAGGGAGGAAAGUUUGCUACAACACAGAAAACUAAACUCAGCCUUAAGCUCUGGUCUUCUAGGUAGAGAGGCAGGCAGGAGGAGUAUUGGGGAGACUUGGCCUUGAACCCCAUUCUGUCUUCUUUACAUGCAAUUUUGAGCAAAUCACUUUUCUCAGUCCCCUCACUGGCAGAGCAGGCAUAAGAACACCCACCCAUACUGGCAUCGUGCUGUCAGAGUGCAAUAGUAUAUGUAAUACUUGGAACCCAAUGAGCCUUUCUGAGUAUCACAUCCUUCCCAGGUCCCCUGAGUGAGAAACGCCAAGCUAGUUAGAACAGUCAAGAAUGGGCUUUAUAUACUUACUUAGGCUGACUCACACUUCAGUGCAUUUUUAAGGCAUUAUAUUUUUAUUUUUAUUUAUAUGUAUGUGCCUGCUUGUCUGCACGAGCAUACGUGUGUGUAGUGUCCAUGGAGGCCAGGAGAGAGUAUCCAAUCUCCUGUGCCUGGAGUUGCAGGCACGUGUGAGCUAUCCAGUGUGGGUUAUGGAUAUUGGACUUGGGACCUCAGCAAGAGCAGCAAGUGCUCUUAACAGCUGAGCCAUCUCUCCAGCCUGCUUUAAGUCACUUAGAUUUAUUUCAUGUAAACUAUAGCUCCCCUUCCUGGUGCUGUAUGAGCUCUUCAUAGCACCCCACCCACACCAUCAGAACAACUCUCUUCUCUCUGUAGGCUUGACCUUAAGUGCUGCUGCAGCUGGACUGCUUCAGGAGAAGUAGCUCUCCUCUUCCGAGCAUGGAGGGCUGCGGUGGAUUGAAGCAGAGUAUGCAGAGAGGCUAAGGCCUUGGUUUGGGUGCCAACUGUGACCAGGGAGUGAGACUUCCUGUGGUGGGGGAGGAAGACUGGGUGGCUGGGUUGGAGACUAGCAUCUGGGUCAGGAGGGAGGACUGAGCUGGGUAGAACUCAGCAGAUUCCUUGGCAUGCACUGCAGGAGGAUUCCCUGAAGGGCUGCACAGAAAAAUAUGCUGUGUGCUCAGCAGGCCAGAAACCACAGAGACCCUAGCCAGGCUCUUGGAUGAUUUGGGAGCAGAAAAGCAGACUCCCCAGGUGGUUAUUUAUAGAGCCAGCAGCAGUAAUGAUCAGUUAGAAAAAUAAAUUAUAACUCAGUUGAACCUGAAAUAACUUUGCUUUUGCAACCUUAGGCUUUCCGAAUGGGUCGCUCAGAUGUCACUCCUUCCCAGCAGUGUUCCUGCAGGCUGAGGAGCAGUCUCCUACUAGGCUCACAUAUGCCCGCCCAGAGCUUCAGAGGCAACUGAGAGGGAGCUUUUUGCAAGAGCCAGGGGGCAUCCUGUCUGGAUGACACCUUUCUUUCUCCCAUGAAUCCACAAAACGGUGCUGUGUUCCCUCCUCCUCAUUGACAUGAGAGAAUGGCAUGUAGAGAUUGGGAGGCAUGGAUUAUAUUAGUCUGUUUUCUGUCAUUGUGGUAACACACAAAAGCAAUGUAUAGAGGGAAGGUUUAUUUGGGCUCACCGUUCCAGAGGGAUAUGUCUAUUACAUGGGAGGCACGGGGCAAGCAGGCAUGGAAACUGCGAGAUUACAUCUUUAACUGCAAGCAAGAAGCAGAGGGAGCAAACUGGAUGUGGGAUGAGGCUAUAUACUGUCAAAACCCACUCCCCAUGACAUGUCCUACAGCAAGGCCACGCCUUUCAAACCUCCCCAAAUAACACACGGCCUAGGGAUUAAGUGUUCAGACACACGAGCCUCUGGGGAUACAUUUCUCAUCCUAGUUAAUAUGGACAUAGGUAGACCUUAAAGGGAAUGGAGACCCAUGGCAUGCCAAGCCUCAGCUUAUGGUCAGUACAGUCUUGGCCACAGACAGAGAUUCUGGUGCAGAUAGCCUCAGACAAAAUGGUGGCUGACUCACUUAGAGAUCUCAUCUUUCAUCCUUCUCUCUGCCAACAAGCAAGACCGUGCGAUGUUCACAUUGACAGCUUGGCAGAAGGGUCACCAUGAGCUUGCCCAGCCCACUGCUUGAGGUCUUGACACUUGGGCAUCCAUCUGGCUUCCCCUCUCCUACCCAUCUGUUCUUUCUGUUUAUUUGCAUUCAUUCAUUGAUUCAUUGAUUCACUCAUUCAUUCAUGCAUGCAUGUAUGUAUGCAUUCAUUCAUUAGUCUUCUAAGCAAUCAUUUAAUUAUUCAGUGUCUUAUUAUGCACCAGAUACUGAUGAUGCAAGAAUCUAAGUUACUAUCUAGAUAUUAUAAAGGAUUAGCCUGUAAGCCCAUUGCAGCUAUAGCUACCCUGUAUUUGGCUCUCAACACAGUGUCUUAAAUCUGUGUGCUCUAUUGAUACAUAAAGCCCAGCUGAUUUCUUAUGAGAAAAGAGACACCCAACUUGUGCAGGAACAACUGAAGUCCUGGCCCUGUAAGCCAUGUCCUACAUGGUAGCAUUCUCUAGUCAGGCUAGUAGCCUGUUAGAUCAACCCAGCUCCUCGAUUCAUUUCAGUGCCUGUGACUUUUUAGUCUUGGGUCAACAGCAGGGCAGCCAUUCCUGUCUCACAAACGCACUGAUUCUCCUGCAUGUCACUGUCCUGGCCAUGCAAUAAAUUGAUGUUGAAUCCAGAUGUGGUUCCUAAGCUAAGUCUCAUGGUCUGGGGACCAGCAAUCAGCCGAUGUGUGUAAGGUGUUGUGAGAGUCCCGUCCAUUGGGAGGACAGGGGGCAGAAUGCCUGCUGGCUUUAAUAGGAGUCCAGUUUGACAGUUUAGUGAGCAUAGGGUAAGAAGAUGCUGAGAGGGCCUCUCUGGACCAAGCAGUGGGCAUGCGCAGGAGCUCUGAUGAGUCCUGGAGACAGCGCCAAGCAAACUCUAGCAAAGGUCAAAGCAAAACAGUCCCACUGAUGGGAUUUCAGACCAACUCUGCCCAAGCUCAAGCCUGUAGACAGGCCCUAGCCAUAUCUGCCAUAGCUGCCUAAAGUAGCAGCGGCCGGUGGUUCCUCCUCGCUCUUCCCACAGAGCGGUAUGUGUGCUUCCCUGUCCCUUCCCUCUUCCCUUCUAGCCCCUUCUUGCUUCAUCUCUGGGGCAGUAGUCCCCGCGUGUGAGAUGCUUUGGUCUUCUCCUUGGGUGUGCACACAUUCUUUACCAUGUACAGGCAGAUGUCAAGUGUCUCCUCGCUGACAUCAUCAGCCCAGAGCCAGCUGAGAUACAGUUAGAGGCUCCAGGCAACUUGUGGAGGACUUGCCUUAGAUAGCUCCCAGACGCCCUGGACUCCAGCUAACACCCCAGCAGCCACCCUACACCGCAUCAGCUCAUAUCCCUCCCGUCUUCCUCUUUUCACUCACUGCCCAUCUCCUGAAUGUUGAAAUCCUUCCAUUCUUCAGCCCUUGGUGAGAGUUCCCUGAGGCCUUCCUGGCUCAGGAGGCCACCAAUAAACGCCUAUUACAUUAUAAGCAACAUUUCCAGAAAACUGAGAGCUUACCCAUGCUCCAAAUGCCCUGUGAACAUAGCAGGGCAUUGCCCGUGGACAAGGUGGCCUUGCCCAGUCCUUUACUCUGCUCCCCACAUGGUCCAACAUGGAUGCUUUUUUUUUUUUUAAAUUGCAGUUAACUCUGAUACCAUACAUGAUGGUGAUGUGAGAUUAUCUGUCCCCAGCCUGACUGUAGGUUGGCUAAUGAUAGGGACUGGCUACUGCAUAGUGUCUUCAUGAGAAUGUAGCAUAGUUCUACAUAUGCUCUCAGCUGUCCGUGACUAACAGCCAGUGGCCAUAUUGAAUGAUUCCCUAAUAGAGACGAUAAUGUUACUCUUUACAUGAGAGUUGUCAUUAAAGUUACCACCCAGGAAAAAGUGACAGUGGAUUGGGAGUGAUUGAGUCAGAGGAAGGAAUGCCAUCUAUAACAUGAAGUUGUCUUUUAGCCGUCACAGUUGGCAAGGGAUAUUUGAAGAAGAAGAGCACAGACUGUGUCAUAAGGUGUAUAACUAUCACCCAAGGAUCCCUGAAAAAGCAGUUUCAGUGGUAAGAGUGCACUGGACUCCUCUAACGUUUCUAGCUGUGGGACUUGGAGAUCUAGAAACUUUGAUCGGGAAGUGGAGGGCUCUUGACUUGUUUCACAGCUCACAGUUCAGGUUCCACUGACUGUGCCUGACCUUCCUCUGUGGCCCUGACAGUGGCCCUCUCCUGGGAGACCAGGCAUGGCUCUGCUUGUGAACAUUGCUGCUAGCUCCAGAUGUCCAGUGUUCCACCCCUGAGCUGCUGCUCCAUGACUGGAGUGUCUCCACAGCUGGUGCUGGGGGCUCAGCAAGACCAAGAGAAUCAUUUGCAGAACAGGGCUGAUGGAGAUGUAUGCCUGAGACGUGUCACCUGCCCUGACCCUGAGAGACUUGAGAGGUUUACUGUUAGUAACUCCAGUGGCAGGCUCUACACUUGCUGUCGUCAGAGCACGUCUGCCCGUGCUAACUCCUUUCUUCCUCACAGAUAAAAUCCACCAGCCUUGGGUAUCCUCAGCCAUUUCCAUUGUAAAUGAAGAAGCAAAACCUCAGAGAGCUAAGUCUCUCUGGUUAACAUAGGGUUUGAAGCCAGUAAGUUCUUUUGCUCUUAAAGCAUUUCAUGAUUCUCUGCACCGGGUUGCCUUAUGGGCUCUCUGUCCAGGUAAACCUGCCUCACCAGCAUCUUUCUUUCCAAAGGAGUUGAACUAGGAGGGGAUGUGGCACAGCUUCAGUCCCAGGACUGUCUGUGCCUUCUCUCUCCUGUCACUGAGCACUCCCACCUAAAGACACCUCUCCCCUUUCACAUCCUUCUGAAGCCUGAGCUCCCAUGACCAAAGGGAGAGGAAAGGAGGGCGUCUCAGAUUCCGACCGCGGGAACUGUUACGCCUGGUGCCCAGACCUCUUUACUUUGUACAUUUAUUCACUCACCCAGUGGACUUGGUAGAGAACCUGCCAUGGACCAGACACUGUCGAGGUAUUGGGGUGACAGUGAAGUCCUUGUACCUUUGAGCUCACUGGUGAGCACUGGGUGGAGAGAAGUGAGUGAACGAGUGGUAAAAAAAUGCUUCAGUAGUGCUCAGGAGAUGGAGAAAACACAAAAGGCAAGGCAAGGCAUAUGGCUACACAGGGCGAGCCGGGAGCUGGCGGGGAGCUGGUUAGGAGAGACUCGAAGGGGAAGCUCCGGCUUGUGGGGCACAGGGAACCUGGCGUGAGAAAGCUGGGAGCAGCAGUUUUCCAGGAAGAGGGGCUAGCCAGGGCAAAGGGCCAAGUGGAGCUGCAGAACACAGUGCUGGGAAAUGAUAUUUGUCAUGGUGGUUAGGCUGUGCUGUCAUCACUAUGGUUCAGCAGUUCUGUGCUUCCUGAGGAGUUAUCCGAGAUCUCUCCUCUUCCUUCCCCGAGCUGUGGGAUUUCUGAGAAGACCAUGUCUGAGGUCUGGGCCCACAGUUGAAAACUCACAGCUGAUCUUGGAGCAGCCAAGCAUCGCCUCAGUCAUGGCCUUGCUCAGCAGUGGCUGUGGUGUGUAGUGAACGCUUUGACAGAGUACAGGAAGAGAAGCCCAAACACGCCCAUCAGAGACGUCCCUGACCCCACGGGCUCCAGCAAUGGCACACAACAGGGGUUUUUCUAGGACUCUAUGAUUUUAAGAAUGGCUCUGGGGCUUCUAGUUUGGACUCUGUUCUUGGCUUGUUAUUUAAUUGUUUCUUUGAACAAACACCUGCUCUGGAUUUUGUUUGAAGAAUGAAUGAAUAAAUGAGUGAAUAUAUGAAGUAGGCAGAUUCAAAGAACGUUAAGGCUUUUCUUGUUCUUUGUCUUAUAAUGAAAAUGUUACAUUGGUCAAAAUUUUCUUUGUAUUGUAGUUUCUUUCUGCCCCUCUUUUGGAUGAGUUUUGAGUCCUGAUAGUAGACAGACAGACAGACAGACAGACAGACAGACAUUGGUGGUAGAUUUCAUGUUAAAUAGGUGCUACCACUGAACUCUCUUGGUAUGAAUCUGAGGUUCUCAAAGCAUAGCAUCUAGACCACAGCCACAGUAACUGGGAACUUGUUAGAAAUGUAGGCUUGCAGGAUACUGGGAUGGUGGAUCUGCUGCAUGCUUAUGUCCAAGUGUACACAUACAAAGUGUGUGCUUUAAGUUGUGUUCUCUAGGAAUGGAUUCUUGUACUGCAGUUACUGUCAUAGUCGUGGCUCGUGAUUGUGCUUAUAAUGUGUUUAUCCAGCCUGGCUCCGCACAGGCCUUGGCUAUAAUGCAGAAGGAAAGUGCCUGACCCAUCUGGGGUUGAUCCAGGUGGUCCUGUUUAAUGCCAUGUCCCACCCACUGGGCUACAUAUCUCUGGUAUAAUGGGCAUUCCAAGUGGGCCUCUGUUGGAGGGAAGCCUUAGCAAGAGGGUGGCUUUGUAGAAGUGCUGCCAGAUUUGUUUCCAUGGGGACUGGUAAAGCAGAUCAGCUCUUUGACUCUGGCUAGUUUUGAUGUGUUUUAAAGCAUGAGCCUGUCCCAGGAAGUGGAUCUGCUAGCACCUGUGUUAAUGAAGAUCAAUGUGCUGAAAGGUCUCAGUCUUCCAUUAAGGUAACUUGCCUGUACACUGGAUUUGCAGUUCUGGUCCAUCUGGUGUCCCUCGUCUAGCUGUCCACCCGUGAACUAGAAUGAGGUGACCGGUGGUCCAGAUCACCCAGCACUGCCCGUGUUUCCCCUUCCUGUCCCUCUCAGUCUGGUGUCUCGGAUUUGGCCCUGCGUUGCCCACUCCUGAUGCAUCUUGUCCAGUGAGGAACAAAACACCCUGCCACCUGCCUGAAGAACAGGAAGAAAAGAAGUUACAGAGGCAGAUUCCAGCGCAUCCAGAGACCGAGAUGUUGAUGCUCAGAGGGAGCUGGGAUCACCAAGACAUGUACUUCCAGAAGCCCCAGGGGACAAGAGUCACACUGACCCAAUUAGUAGAUGUGCUGACAGUGACCACAUGGCAUAGACAUCAGCACCCUGGCUGCCCAUCCAAGAUCCAUCAAAUUGAAGAUAGCACAGCAAAAUCUCACUUUGUGAAACCUGGCACAAGGACUAGAGAAGCCAGAGCAGCAGCAUAUAUCCCAAAACCACCGGAAAAAGCUGGAGAGAAUGGCAUGUUGACCUGUGGUUGGCUAUACCAAUAGUUAUUGUGAGAAGAGACCUCUUCCCCAUCAGAUCCCACCACAUCUGGACACCACUCUCCACCAUAAGCCUGGAGUCUCGCUUCAGCUGGCAACCUUCCACUCAGCCUUCCUUGUGAGGAAAUGCCCUGUUUCUCCUCCAUAUUCUGGAUUCACUCGUUACACCCAGCACCGGCCACCUUAAAUAGAAGCACCCUGAGACAUUCAUACUUCUCAGAAGCUGCCAAAGAAUGUCACCCUUGUGUCACCCUGGGUCACAUAGAACCUGGGUCCACUUCUGAUAGAUGCUGCCUGACCUGGUCAGAGAGUCGCUCCUUCCUCAGUUUUGGUACCCUUCUCCCUGCCUCUCUCAUCCCGGUUGUGACUUUGCCAGUGCCUGCUAUUUGGAUUGCAUGAAGAGGGAGAAGGUUUGGUUGGAGGAAUCGAUGCCUUGGUCUGCUGGGAGGCUGAAACCUGCUCUAACCUAGGCAGAAGGUCACCAACCCUCAUCUCAUGCCCUGCCUUGUCCCCUACCCAUGACUCAAUCGUACCUCUGUGUCUGUCCUAUCCUGGACAGUUGUACUUUAUUUUUUUUCAAUUAAACAGAAUUUGGUUA
This 11932-nucleotide small RNA is filed under the name Rattus norvegicus (Norway rat). Its description in RNAcentral is "RGD1563049". The record is from RNAcentral. Lineage: Eukaryota; Metazoa; Chordata; Mammalia; Rodentia; Muridae.